ACUUAAAUAAUUUAAUAAAAAAUAUUGAUUUGUGGUAUCAAAAAUAUGAUAAUUCAUUUUAAGUU
Molecule: transfer RNA, 65 nt
Filed under: unidentified
Description: Celypha sp. DX-2020 tRNA-His
Source: RNAcentral